Molecule: RNA transcript, 3538 nt
Organism: Quercus lobata
Lineage: Eukaryota; Viridiplantae; Streptophyta; Magnoliopsida; Fagales; Fagaceae
Gene name: inositol 1,3,4-trisphosphate 5/6-kinase 4-like
Exons: 4
Source: RefSeq, a predicted model, not a curated record
AAUUUUAGGGGGGGAGAAAUAUCUUCUCAUACUUGAUGAUGUGCAUAAUGAAGAUCCUAAGAAAUGGGAUACUUUAAAAGGUUACUUAUUAGAGUUUAAUUCUAAUAUAGGAAAUAAUAUUGUUGUUACAACCUGUAGUGAUAAUGUGGGGCAAAUCAUGAAGAUACAUCAUCCCCCACAUCACUUAGAGAAGUUAUCAAAAAAUGAUUGUUGGUCUAUAAUGAAAAAAAGAACAUUCAUAGAUGGAAGAACUCCAUUAACUUUAGAUUUGGAGGUUAUUGGUAGGGAAAUUGCAAAAAAAUGUGGAGGGAUUCCAUUGGCUGCAAGAGUUUUAGGGGGAACAAUGUGCUUUCAAUUUGAUAAAAACAAAUGGCAGGAGAUUCAAAAUAAUAAAAUUUGGGAUUUGUUGGAUGAAGAUAAUAGUGAUAUGUUUCCUGUGCUUAAGUUAUGCUUUGAUCAUCUUCCAACACCAUCUUUAAAACGAUGUUUUGCAUAUUGUGCAAUAUUCCCUAAAGACUAUGACAUGAAAAAGGAUGAAGUAAUUCAGUAUUGGAUGGUUGAAGGGUUCCUACUAGCUAAAGAAGCUAAUAUGGAGAUGGAAGAUAUUGGUAACAUGUAUUUCAAUAUUUUGUUGGCCACUUCCUUUUUCCAAAAUGCUAGAAAGGAUGCCUACGGUAAUAUUAUUAGCUGCAAAAUGUAUGAUUUGGUGCAUGACUUUGCACUCUCAAUUUCAAAAUUUGAAACUUUAAUCUUGGAGGGAGAUUCAGUGGAUGAUGGUAGUAGCAUACAACAUUUAUUUGCCCGACAUGAUGGUAAAACAACACUAAGUUCAUUUACAAAAUUGCGCACGUUAAUUUCAGAAAAUUUCAACUUUGACAUCAUGUCAUCAAAUUUUAAAUGCUUACGCGUUUUAAAAUUAUUCGGGGAUAGUAUAAAGGAGUUGCCAGAUUCAAUUGAGCAAUUAAUACAUUUGAGGCUUCUUCAAAUCUCAGACUCCAUAAUUGAAAAAUUACCAAAAUCCAUCACCAAACUAUACAAUUUGCAAACUUUAAGAAUUGAAGGCGGCCGCCAUGUAAGAGAGCUUCCGGAAGACCUAUGCAAUUUGAUUAACUUGAGACAUAUUCAUAUUAAUUGGGGUUGUUUUAUAAAAACACCUAAAAAUAUGAGUAUGUUGACUUGCCUUCAAACAUUGCCAUUUUUUGGUGUGGGUUCAGAGGAUGGUUAUCGGAUUACAGAAUUGGGAGCUUUAAAGAAUCUCAAAGGAGAAAUAGUAAUAAAGAAUCUAGAGUACGUGAAAGAUGAGGAAGAAGCCAAAAGUGCAAAAUUAAAAGAAAAGGAAAUAUUCAAGUUGGGAUUACGCUGGGUUAUUUUUCUUAGUAAAGGGGAUAAAGAUGAAAAGGUGUUGGAAGGCCUCCAGCCUCACCCUAAUUUGAAAAGCUUAACAAUCGAAUCGUACGGAGGAAAGAAAUUCCCAUCCUGGGUUGGUUUGUCUUCGCUAUAUCACAAUUUGAUUGAGAUCAAUUUAAGAGAUUGUUUGGAAUGUGAAGAAGUUCCCACUCUGGGGCAAUUACCCUGUCUUAGGGUUCUUGAAAUAAUAGGAAUGUGGAAGGUAAGAUGUAUAGGAAGUGAGUUUUACUUUUACAGUGAUGGGAGUUACAGAAAUACUACUACAAUAUUAUUUCCGGCAUUGAGAAUACUCAAAUUGGAGAAAUUGUAUAAGCUAGAAGAGUGGAAGGAUGCAAAGGAGUUGACAACCGCAGAUGAGGUGUUGUUUGUGUUUCCUUGCCUUGACGAGUUGACCUUACGAGAAUGUAAGAAACUGAGAGAUUUGCCAGACUCACUGCACACCUGCGUUUCCCUUCAGAAGUUGGUAGUACAGAGUUGUCCUAUGCUGAGGUCAUUGCCAGGUGUCCCGUCCAUAAUAAGGAGUGGUAUUGAAGACCCACCCAGUAGUGGGUUACAAUAUUUGGAGAAUGGGGAUUGUCGUCGUCUGCCUUCUUCUUCUACUUCCUCCAUUCACCCCUCCCAGCGGGUUGUUGGUUUGUCUUCGCUAUAUCACAAUUUGAUUGAGAUCAGAUUGAUAUGGUGUACGGAAUGUGAAGAAGUUCCCACUCUGGGGCAAUUACCCUGUCUUCGGGUUCUUGAAAUGGGAGGAAUGGGGAAGGUAAGAUGUAUAGGAAGUGAGUUUUACUUUUACAUUGAUGGGAGUUACAGAAAUACUACUACAAAAUUAUUUCCGGCAUUGAGAAUACUCAAAUUGGUGCGUAUGGAUUCCCUAGAAGAGUGGAAGGAUGCAAAGGAGUUGACAACCGCAGAUGAGGUGUUGUUUGUGUUUCCUUGCCUUCAGGAGCUUACAUUAUAUACAUGUGGGAAACUGAGAGAUUUGCCAGACUCACUGCACACCUGCGUUUCCCUUCAGAAGUUGGUAGUUGACAGAUGUCCUAAGCUGAGGUCAUUGCCAGGUGUCCGGUCCAGUGGGUUACAAUAUUUGGAGAAUGGGGAUUGUCGUCGUCUGCCUUCUUCUUCUACUUCCUCCAUUCACCCCUCCCUCCAAAAGCUCAAAUUGUAUGGGUCUGUCCUGUUCCUGGACCAAAUUCAAUACUUCAUUGCCCUUAAAAUUCUGUGGAUAGAGGAAUUUCAUGAGAUGGUAGCUUUGCCAGAGUGGUUGGGCAAUCUUUCCUCUCUUCAACGUCUGUAUAUUGUGCAUUGCUGGUAUCUGGCGCAUCUGCCCACCGAGGAAGCCAUGCGACGCCUCACCCAAUUGAAAACGCUGAUCAUUUAUCGUUGCAACUACUUUGAUGAAGACAAUGAGCGGAUCAAGAUUAGCCACGUUCCAUGGGUUAAAAUCAAUAAUCCUCAGUACCCGCUGUGUUGCGAAGAUUUUGAAGACUAACUCAGAAAGAUAGCAAGAAGUUUGCCUUUGGAAAAAUAAUUAACUUGAUGACAACUGAUGCCCAGGCACUUCAGGUGACAUUCUGGUGGUUUCUCUAGAUCAAGCAAAUGGUCUGAGGAUAGUUCUCAAUAUCUUAAGCAUAAGUUGCACUGCCAUCAUUGAAAAUUUUGCAAUACUAAAGUUGCUGUGUAUGGGAGAGGAGGAUUCUAGAAAAAAUUUCUACAAAACCAGAUACGUUCAAGCCAAAAUUGGAAGGUUGUUUCAACUCCAAUUUUGAUGAAAUUUCCUAAUGAAGAGAGCUUCAUGUUGACUGGUGACUGGUGUUGUUACUUGAAAUUCCUCUCCAUUUGCUCAAAUGCUAAAGCCCACUUGGUGGGAUCUUUUCUUCUUUUUAUUGUCGGUAUCUUAGUGUGAUGAAUAUUUGUUGUAAUCCAAGAAUGACAUGUUUUUGUUGUCUUUGUAGCUGAUAGCGUUUGUUUUAGAGAAGAUUGUUGUAAACUCAUAUUCUAUAGUGAAAGAUUUUACUGGACUAGGUCCCGUGGUUUUUUCCUUCUCAUUGAAGGGUUUUCCACGUAAAAUUUGGUGUCUUGAUUAUGGAUUGUUGCUGAAUUUUUUAUUUAUAUUUGUUAUUGUGCUUUGCUAAUU